RNAcentral lists this ribosomal RNA (267 nucleotides) under uncultured Acidovorax sp. RNAcentral describes it as "partial 16S ribosomal RNA". It matches the Rfam family "Bacterial small subunit ribosomal RNA", at positions 505 to 767 of the family's 1533-position model. The record is from RNAcentral. Lineage: Bacteria; Pseudomonadati; Pseudomonadota; Betaproteobacteria; Burkholderiales; Comamonadaceae.
GUGCCAGCCGCUGCGGUAAUACGUAGGGUGCGAGCGUUAAUCGGAAUUACUGGGCGUAAAGCGUGCGCAGGCGGUGAUGUAAGACAGAUGUGAAAUCCCCGGGCUCAACCUGGGAACUGCAUUUGUGACUGCAUCGCUGGAGUGCGGCAGAGGGGGAUGGAAUUCCGCGUGUAGCAGUGAAAUGCGUAGAUAUGCGGAGGAACACCGAGUGGACGAAGGCAACUCCCCGUGGGCCUGCACUGACGCUCAUGCACGAAAGCGUGGGGA